Molecule: ribosomal RNA, 253 nt
Filed under: uncultured bacterium
Lineage: Bacteria
Description: partial 16S ribosomal RNA
Rfam family: Bacterial small subunit ribosomal RNA
Source: RNAcentral
UACAGAGGGUGCAAGCGUUAAUCGGAAUUACUGGGCGUAAAGCGUGCGUAGACGGUAGCGUAAGUCGGGUGUGAAAGCCCCGGGCUCAACCUGGGAAUUGCAUUCGAGACUGCUCUGCUAGGGUGCGGAAGAGGGAAGCGGAAUUUCCGGUGUAGCGGUGAAAUGCGUAGAUAUCAGGAGGAACACCGGUGGCGAAGGCGCUCAUCUGGCCCAAUACUGACGCUGAGGCGCGAAAGCUAGGGGAGCAAACGGG